Molecule: ribosomal RNA, 327 nt
Filed under: uncultured eukaryote
Lineage: Eukaryota
Description: partial 18S ribosomal RNA
Rfam family: Eukaryotic small subunit ribosomal RNA
Source: RNAcentral
CCCUUAGAUGUUCUGGGCCACACGCGCGUUACACUGAUGAAGCCAGCGAGUAUAUCGCCUUCACCGGAAGGUGCGGGUAAUCUUGUGAAACUUCAUCGUGCUGGGGAUAGACCAUUGCAAUUAUUGGUCUUGAACGAGGAAUUCCUAGUAAGCAUGAGUCAUCAACUCGUGCUGAUUACGUCCCUGCCCUUUGUACACACCGCCCGUCGCUACUACCGAUUGAAUGGUUUAGUGAGAUCUCGGGAUUGGAGACGUUGCGCCGCAGGGCACAUCGUCCUCGAGAACUUGAUCAAACUUGAUCAUUUAGAGGAAGUAAAAGUCGUAACA